UUGCAGGAUAAGUUACAAUACAGCUGUGAAGUGCUCUAUUGUCGUUCCCCCUGCAGAAAGAAACCCGUUUCAUACUAUCCCUGACUGUCCUGUCUUGUUGACUGGCAGGGACGCUUGGUCACGAACAC
Small nucleolar RNA from Lepisosteus oculatus (spotted gar), 128 nucleotides. Its record names the gene SNORA63. It matches the Rfam family "Small nucleolar RNA SNORA63". From Rfam's summary of the family: E3 belongs to the H/ACA class of snoRNAs and is involved in the processing of eukaryotic pre-rRNA and has regions of complementarity to 18S rRNA. Lineage: Eukaryota; Metazoa; Chordata; Actinopteri; Semionotiformes; Lepisosteidae. The record is from Ensembl.